Molecule: long non-coding RNA, 229 nt
Filed under: Trifolium pratense (red clover)
Lineage: Eukaryota; Viridiplantae; Streptophyta; Magnoliopsida; Fabales; Fabaceae
Description: long non-coding RNA (TPRA_LNC013038)
Source: RNAcentral
AAAUUACUAAGGGAUUAAAGAGAAGUGGUAUUGGAAAAUGUUGCGUUAAGGAAUGCAAAUGUUGGUUGAGAGAUUACUUGGGAACGGAAUAGUCGUGUUGGGAUUCAACUCAAUGAUUGAAGAUAUGUGAGAAAAGGAAUUUGACGGUUAGAGACGGUAGUUUUUAACAUGUGUCAAUGAAGUUUGAGAAUGUUGGUCAUCAAGUGAUUGUUGGAAUUGAAAUAUCGAG